CAAAGUUUGCGGUUUCCGUUGUCUGUGGGGGAAAGCUUUUGAGAGAGAAAGGGGAUUGAAGUUAAUCAAGUGGGAUUUUUUUGUGCUCGUGUGUGUGUAUAUAUAUAUAGAAGCGUGUAUUUAUGUGUGUCUAUGAUGGUGCAAGCGGGGUGUUCGCUUGUGUUAAUGUGAUGGUGGUGUGACUGAGGGAUGAAUUGCGAAAGACUAUCAUCACCUCUUCCGUUUUACAAUCAUCCCUGAGACUAUAUACUACUACUACUAUGCUGCUGGAAGGAUGGGGGGCCAAGGCCACCCAUGGUCUUACACUCGGUCCGCCCCUGCGUGCUCUUCAAUUUUGAUAAAUGUGUAGUACAUGAGGCCUGGUGCAUAUCCUUUAGGAGGUCUAGUUCGUCCCCCUCUCAUUGCAGGACCUUCCGCUGGUCACGGCAGAGGUGAAUACCGUCCAGCCGGAUCGAAAAAUGCUCCUACUAUGCAAAAAGGUCAUGGCAUGCCAGUUUGGGCCAACAAUACACCAGGACAUCGUUUCAGUAGGGGAUUGAAUUUCACACUUCCAUCUUACAAGACUGUAUUUGAAGUUGACACUGAUAGCUUCGAAGAAAAGCCUUGGAGACUCCCUGGUGUUGAUAUAUCAGAUUAUUUCAACUUUGAUCUAAAUGAGGAAGCCUGGAAAAAUUAUCUGGCAUGCUUGGUUUGAUGAUUCAGUUAUUACCUUCGCAGGACAAUUUACUAGAGCAUGAGCACUGAAUGCCAGCUGUUGCAAACUCUGAAGAAAGGGCUGAUUCGCAAGCCGUAAUUUAUGACUUGCGAGAGCACACCAAUCAAGAGCACACCAAGAACCAGGGCUUUCCGGUAAUCAGAUGAAGAUAUCAAAGAAUCGACAAUCCCUAUACUUAACAGACCAAUUAGUGCAAGUUUGCUCGACUCUGCUGAUUCUUCAAAGGCUUGCAUCUGGCUCUCAAGAUUCCCCAUUAUCUGCCAAUCAAGAAAUUAAAAACUCGAGUCAUUUCUAUUAUGGAAAUUUUUGAAGCAAGUAAUUAUCCAGAAUUAGAACACACCCUGGCACUGGUUUCUUCCAGUUCUUUAAGAGCUUCUUCUCCUAUCUGAUCAAUCUCAGCAUUAGCUUCUUCAGCAAACUGAGUUAGGUAAUCCGACCGCUCAUCCAAAAAACCAGUGAGACGAACUUUUUGAGUUUGAAGCAUUGCAAUUUUGGCAAGCAAUUCCUGCUUCUGCAAAUCCCCGUCAGGUGUUGGGGCAGCUGAAUCCGAAUCAUUCGACUUCGAGAGUAAGAUGAAAUUUUUCCUUUUAGCUGGUCUUCCUUUGUCAAAAAUACCAUGUUGGGUGGGAGUAAAGGAAGUGAUGCAUUUGAAUGCAAUCAUCUUUAUGAUUAUGUUUUGUAGAUAAGAGUGAGUUACAUGUCCUGGAAGCAGAAACUCAAGUGUUUUCAGCCUCUCAUCUGUGGUAUAGACUGUACAUUAUCUCAUCUGAGCAUUAUUAUUUAUUUUAUUUAUUUUUAUGAU
Long non-coding RNA from Daucus carota subsp. sativus, 1517 nucleotides. RefSeq lists it as uncharacterized. Lineage: Eukaryota; Viridiplantae; Streptophyta; Magnoliopsida; Apiales; Apiaceae. The transcript has 5 exons. The record is from RefSeq and is a predicted model, not a curated record.